RNAcentral lists this ribosomal RNA (252 nucleotides) under uncultured bacterium. RNAcentral's name for it is "partial 16S ribosomal RNA". It matches the Rfam family "Bacterial small subunit ribosomal RNA", at positions 524 to 776 of the family's 1533-position model. The record is from RNAcentral.
UACGUAGGGAGCGAGCGUUGUCCGGAAUUACUGGGUGUAAAGGGAGCGUAGGCGGGGAUGCAAGUUGGGUGUCAAAACUACCGGCUCAACUGGUAGUCGCACUCAAAACUGCAGCUCUUGAGUGAAGUAGGGGCAGGCGGAAUUCCUAGUGUAGCGGUGAAAUGCGUAGAUAUUAGGAGGAACACCAGUGGCGAAGGCGGCCUGCUGGGCUUUUACUGACGCUGAGGCUCGAAAGUGUGGGGAGCAAACAGG